Molecule: ribosomal RNA, 495 nt
Filed under: uncultured bacterium
Lineage: Bacteria
Description: partial 16S ribosomal RNA
Rfam family: Bacterial small subunit ribosomal RNA
Source: RNAcentral
GACGAACGCUGGCGGCGUGCCUAAUACAUGCAAGUCGAACGCUGAAGGAGGAGCUUGCUCUUCUGGAUGAGUUGCGAACGGGUGAGUAACGCGUAGGUAACCUGCCUGGUAGCGGGGGAUAACUAUUGGAAACGAUAGCUAAUACCGCAUAACAGUAGAUGUUGCAUGACAUUUGCUUAAAAGGUGCAAUUGCACCACUACCAGAUGGACCUGCGUUGUAUUAGCUAGUUGGUGGGGUAACGGCUCACCAAGGCGACGAUACAUAGCCGACCUGAGAGGGUGAUCGGCCACACUGGGACUGAGACACGGCCCAGACUCCUACGGGAGGCAGCAGUAGGGAAUCUUCGGCAAUGGACGGAAGUCUGACCGAGCAACGCCGCGUGAGUGAAGAAGGGUUUCGGAUCGUAAAGCUCUGUUGUAAGAGAAGAACGAGUGUGAGAGUGGAAAGUUCACACUGUGACGGUAGCUUACCAGAAAGGGACGGCUAACUACGUG